AACGGUAGCACAGAGAGCUUGCUCUCGGGUGACGAGUGGCGGACGGGUGAGUAAUGUCUGGGAAACUGCCUGAUGGAGGGGGAUAACUACUGGAAACGGUAGCUAAUACCGCAUAACGUCGCAAGACCAAAGAGGGGGACCUUCGGGCCUCUUGCCAUCAGAUGUGCCCAGAUGGGAUUAGCUAGUAGGUGGGGUAACGGCUCACCUAGGCGACGAUCCCUAGCUGGUCUGAGAGGAUGACCAGCCACACUGGAACUGAGACACGGUCCAGACUCCUACGGGAGGCAGCAGUGGGGAAUAUUGCACAAUGGGCGCAAGCCUGAUGCAGCCAUGCCGCGUGUAUGAAGAAGGCCUUCGGGUUGUAAAGUACUUUCAGCGGGGAGGAAGGUGUUGCGGUUAAUAACCGCAGCAAUUGACGUUACCCGCAGAAGAAGCACCGGCUAACUCCGUGCCAGCAGCCGCGGUAAUACGGAGGGUGCAAGCGUUAAUCGGAAUUACUGGGCGUAAAGCGCACGCAGGCGGUCUGUCAAGUCGGAUGUGAAAUCCCCGGGCUCAACCUGGGAACUGCAUUCGAAACUGGCAGGCUAGAGUCUUGUAGAGGGGGGUAGAAUUCCAGGUGUAGCGGUGAAAUGCGUAGAGAUCUGGAGGAAUACCGGUGGCGAAGGCGGC
RNAcentral lists this ribosomal RNA (669 nucleotides) under uncultured Enterobacterales bacterium. Its description in RNAcentral is "bacterial SSU rRNA". It matches the Rfam family "Bacterial small subunit ribosomal RNA", at positions 65 to 725 of the family's 1533-position model. The record is from RNAcentral. Lineage: Bacteria; Pseudomonadati; Pseudomonadota; Gammaproteobacteria; Enterobacterales.